UGGGGAAUUUUGGACAAUGGGCGAAAGCCUGAUCCAGCAAUGCCGCGUGUGUGAAGAAGGCCUUCGGGUUGUAAAGCACUUUUGUCCGGAAAGAAAUCCUUGGCUCUAAUACAGUCGGGGGAUGACGGUACCGGAAGAAUAAGCACCGGCUAACUACGUGCCAGCAGCCGCGGUAAUACGUAGGGUGCAAGCGUUAAUCGGAAUUACUGGGCGUAAAGCGUGCGCAGGCGGUUUGCUAAGACCGAUGUGAAAUCCCCGGGCUCAACCUGGGAACUGCAUUGGUGACUGGCAGGCUAGAGUAUGGCAGAGGGGGGUAGAAUUCCACGUGUAGCAGUGAAAUGCGUAGAGAUGUGGAGGAAUACCGAUGGCGAAGGCAGCCCCCCGGGCCAAUACUGACGCUCAUGCACGAAAGCGUGGGGAGCAAACAGGAUUAGAUACCCUGGUAGUCCACGCCCUAAACGAUGUCAACUAGUUGUUGGGGACUUCAUUUCCUUAGUAACGUAGCUAACGCGUGAAGUUGACCGCCUGGGGAGUACGGUCGCAAGAUUAAAACUUAAAGGAAUUGACGGGGU
This 572-nucleotide ribosomal RNA is filed under the name uncultured bacterium. Its description in RNAcentral is "partial 16S ribosomal RNA". It matches the Rfam family "Bacterial small subunit ribosomal RNA", at positions 355 to 919 of the family's 1533-position model. The record is from RNAcentral.